GAGGGUAUAGUUCAAGUGGUAGAGUGCAUGUUUAGCAUGCAUGAGGUUCUGGGUUCAAUCCCUGGUGCCUCCU
RNAcentral lists this transfer RNA (73 nucleotides) under Camelus bactrianus (Bactrian camel). It matches the Rfam family "tRNA". Rfam says of the family: Transfer RNA (tRNA) molecules are approximately 80 nucleotides in length. Their secondary structure includes four short double-helical elements and three loops (D, anti-codon, and T loops). RNAcentral also lists the same sequence under 3 other names. The record is from Rfam by way of RNAcentral. Lineage: Eukaryota; Metazoa; Chordata; Mammalia; Artiodactyla; Camelidae.